RNAcentral lists this ribosomal RNA (479 nucleotides) under uncultured bacterium. RNAcentral describes it as "partial 16S ribosomal RNA". It matches the Rfam family "Bacterial small subunit ribosomal RNA", at positions 28 to 507 of the family's 1533-position model. The record is from RNAcentral.
GAUGAACGCUGGCGGCGUGCUUAACACAUGCAAGUCGAGCGAGAAGUUUUGAAAAGAUUCUUCGGAUGAAAUUUAAAAUGGAAAGCGGCGGACGGGUGAGUAACGCGUAGGCAACCUGCCCCAUACAAAGGGAUAGCAUUUGGAAACGAAUAUUAAUACCUUAUGAAACUUAACUAGUGCAUGCUAGGUAGGUCAAAGAUUUAUCGGUAUGGGAUGGGCCUGCGUCUGAUUAGCUAGUUGGUGAGGUAACGGCUCACCAAGGCGACGAUCAGUAGCCGACCUGAGAGGGUGAACGGCCACAUUGGAACUGAGACACGGUCCAAACACCUACGGGAGGCGGCAGUGGGGAAUAUUGCACAAUGGGGGAAACCCUGAUGCAGCAACGCCGCGUGAACGAGGAAGGCCUUUGGGUCGUAAAGUUCUGUUCUAGGUGAUGAAAACUGACAGUAACCUAGGAAAAAGCCCCGGCUAACUCCGUG